This 401-nucleotide ribosomal RNA is filed under the name uncultured bacterium. RNAcentral describes it as "bacterial SSU rRNA". It matches the Rfam family "Bacterial small subunit ribosomal RNA", at positions 355 to 748 of the family's 1533-position model. The record is from RNAcentral.
UAGGGAAUAUUGGACAAUGGGGGCAACCCUGAUCCAGCCAUGCCGCGUGAGUGAAGAAGGCCCUCGGGUUGUAAAGCUCUUUUGUCCGGAAAGAAAAGCAUUCGGUGAAUACCCGGAUGUUCUGACGGUACCGGAAGAAUAAGCACCGGCUAACUUCGUGCCAGCAGCCGCGGUAAUACGAAGGGUGCAAGCGUUACUCGGAAUUACUGGGUGUAAAGCGUGCGUAGGUGGUUGUUUAAGUCUUAUGUGAAAGCCCUGUGCUCAACCUGGGAAUGGCAGUGGAACCUGGGCUGCUAGAGUGCGGUAGAGGGUAGUGGAAUUCCCGGUGUAGCAGUGAAAUUCGUAUAGAUCGGGAUGAAGAUCUGUGGCGAAGGCGACUGCCUGGACCAGCACUGACACUG